RNAcentral lists this ribosomal RNA (465 nucleotides) under uncultured bacterium. RNAcentral's name for it is "partial 16S ribosomal RNA". It matches the Rfam family "Bacterial small subunit ribosomal RNA", at positions 28 to 507 of the family's 1533-position model. The record is from RNAcentral.
GAUGAACGCUGGCGGCGUGCUUAACACAUGCAAGUCGAACGGAAAGGCCCAAGCUUUCUUGGGUCCUCGAGUGGCGAACGGGUGAGUAACACGUGGGUGAUCUGCCCUGCACUUCGGGAUAAGCCCGGGAAACUGGGUCUAAUACCGGAUAGGACCACCUUUUGGAUGGUGUCGUGGCAAGUUUUUCGGUGUGGUUUGAGCUCGCGGCCUAUCAGCUUGUUGGUGGGGUAAUGGCCUACCAAGGCGUCGACGGGUAGCCGGCCUGAGAGGGUGUACGGCCACAUUGGGACUGAGAUACGGCCCAGACUCCUACGGGAGGCAGCAGUGGGGAAUAUUGCACAAUGGGCGCAAGCCUGAUGCAGCGACGCCGCGUGGGGGAUGACGGCCUUCGGGUUGUAAACUCCUUUCGGUAGGGAAGAAGCGCAAGUGACGGUACCUGGAGAAGAAGCACCGGCUAACUACGUG